AUGCCGAAGCAUAUGCCGAAGGAAGGCGUCGCCGGCGACGGCUCCAAGACCGCCGGGCAGAGCUCGGUUGAGGACACCCGUGCGGCGGACGCGCUUGCGCUGCGAGGCAGGCCGGGAGGUGAGCUGGGUGCGCCACGCUCCGUGCGAGACGUGGGCAUAUCCAGUACCUCCUUCCCUCUCCUCACGCGGACCAACUACCCCAGUUGGUCCGUCAUGAUGAAAGUCAUCAUGGAGGCGUGGCAUAUGUGGAAAGCCGUGGAAACCGGCGAUGUCGAGUACGAGGAGGACCGGCUGGCGAUGGAAGCGAUCUUGCGCUCCGUCCCAGAGGAGAUGGUGCUCACCCUUGGCGCCAAGGAGACGGCCAAGGAAGCAUGGGAGACCAUCAAGACUCUGCGCAUCGGCGUGGAGCGUGUACGGGAUUCGAAGGCCCAGACCUUGCGCCUCCAGUACGAGGAAAUCCGGUUCAAGGCCGGUGAACAAGUCGACGACUUCGCCUUGCGGCUGCAAGGUCUCGUCAACGAGCUCGCAACGCUCGGAGAUCACAUCAACAACAAGAUGGUGAUUCUCAAGUUCCUCCGCGUCAUCCCCAGGCAGUACAAGCAACUGGCCUGGUCCAUUGAGAGUUUGGUGGAUCUCUCCACCAUGACGAUCGAGGAGCUGGUAGGGCGGCUGAAGGUCGUCGAGGAGCGCGGCGACGAAGCCGACAACCAUGCUGGCGGCGAACUACUGCUCACCAGGGAGCGGUGGGACGCGCAGCUUCAGCAGCGCGGCCGCGAUGGCUCUUCCAGCAGUGGGGGAGGCGCCCCCACGGGAAGCAGAGGUCGCGGCACAGGCGGAGGCCGCACCCAGAGUGGUGGCGGCAACCGCGGUCGCAAGCCAAGCCGGGCAGGGAGAGGCGCUGGCAACGGUGGCAAGUGCCGCUACUGCGACAUGCCGGGUCACUGGAUCCGGGAUUGCCACAAGAGGAAAACCAGGAAGGAACUUCUANNNNNNNNNNNNNCCCCCCGCCCCCCCGCGUCGCCCCCGCCCGGGCGACUCGGGCGGGAUCCCAACCCUAGCCGCCGGGGCUCCCCCUCCUUCCAUCCCUCCCUCCGCCGCCGCCGAAGGACGCCGCCGGCCUUUUGCCCGGGGGCUGACGGUGGUGGCGGGGGCCUUUCCUCUCUCCCGCGCCAUGGGGACGGUGCGGAGCUCCGCGGCGUGAGGUGGCACGGCCGAUCUGGCCUCCGUGGCGUGGCGGGCCUGCCUUGA
Molecule: ribosomal RNA, 1248 nt
Filed under: Triticum aestivum (bread wheat)
Lineage: Eukaryota; Viridiplantae; Streptophyta; Magnoliopsida; Poales; Poaceae
Description: partial small subunit ribosomal RNA
Source: RNAcentral